UAUGACACUAAAGCGUAGCAUGG
This 23-nucleotide microRNA is filed under the name Caenorhabditis remanei. RNAcentral's name for it is "crm-miR-64d-5p". Its record names the gene crm-miR-64d-5p. Lineage: Eukaryota; Metazoa; Nematoda; Chromadorea; Rhabditida; Rhabditidae. The record is from miRBase by way of RNAcentral.